This 562-nucleotide ribosomal RNA is filed under the name Arcofaciella verrucosa. Its description in RNAcentral is "eukaryotic LSU rRNA". It matches the Rfam family "Eukaryotic large subunit ribosomal RNA", at positions 1367 to 1840 of the family's 3401-position model. The record is from RNAcentral. Lineage: Eukaryota; Metazoa; Arthropoda; Insecta; Hemiptera; Delphacidae.
UUAAGUCUUGACGAGUAAGAGGGUCGCGGCGGUGAGCGCAGAAGGGUCAGGGCGAGAGCCUGCCUGGAGCCGCCGUCGGUGCAGAUCUUGGUGGUAGUAGCAAAUACUCUAGCGAGGGCCUGGAGGACUGACGUGGAGAAGGGUUUCUUGUGAACAGCCGUUGCACAAGAGUCAGUCGACCCUGAGCCCUAGGAGAAAUCCAAUGUCGAUGGGUAGCUUGACAAAAAUAUGUUUUGUUGUUACAAACAGCACAAACAAUUGUUGAAAACAGCUCCUGUCGGGCAAAAGGGAAUCCGGUUCCUAUUCCGGAACCCGGCUGCGUAACCGCCACUUUGCGGGCACUUGCUUGCGAGCGCUCGUCGGGGUAACCCAAACUGGCCUGGAGACGCCGGCGGGGGGUCUGGAAAGAGUUUUCUUUUCUUUAUAAGCGUUCGAGUACCCUGGAAUCCUAUAGCAGGGAGAUAGGGUUUGGAACGCGAAGAGCACCGCAGUUGCGGCGGUGUCCGGACCUUCCCCCCGGACCUUGAAAAUCCAGGUGAGGGCCACGCGGAAGUCGCGCCGG